UCGUAACAAGGUCUCCGUUGGUGAACCAGCGGAGGGAUCAUUACCGAGUUAUUCAACUCAUCAACCCUGUGAACAUACCUAAACGUUGCUUCGGCGGGAACAGACGGCCCCGUGAAACGGGCCGCCCCCGCCAGAGGACCCCUAACUCUGUUUCUAUAAUGUUUCUUCUGAGUAAAACAAGCAAAUAAAUUAAAACUUUCAACAACGGAUCUCUUGGCUCUGGCAUCGAUGAAGAACGCAGCGAAAUGCGAUAAGUAAUGUGAAUUGCAGAAUUCAGUGAAUCAUCGAAUCUUUGAACGCACAUUGCGCCCGCCAGUAUUCUGGCGGGCAUGCCUGUUCGAGCGUCAUUACAACCCUCAGGCCCCCGGGCCUGGCGUUGGGGAUCGGCGGAGCCCCCCGUGGGCACACGCCGUCCCCCAAAUACAGUGGCGGUCCCGCCGCAGCUUCCAUCGCGUAGUAGCUAACACCUCGCGACUGGAGAGCGGCGCGGCCACGCCGUAAAACACCCAACUCUUCUGAAGUUGACCUCGAAUCAGGUAGGAAUACCCGCUGAACCUAAGCAUAUCA
This 567-nucleotide unclassified non-coding RNA is filed under the name Fusarium breve. Its description in RNAcentral is "sequence contains 18S rRNA gene, ITS1, 5.8S rRNA gene, ITS2, 28S rRNA gene". The stretch from base 194 to 347 matches the Rfam family "5.8S ribosomal RNA". RNAcentral also lists the same sequence under 1 other name. The record is from RNAcentral. Lineage: Eukaryota; Fungi; Ascomycota; Sordariomycetes; Hypocreales; Nectriaceae.